Molecule: RNA transcript, 1829 nt
Organism: Xiphophorus maculatus (southern platyfish)
Lineage: Eukaryota; Metazoa; Chordata; Actinopteri; Cyprinodontiformes; Poeciliidae
Exons: 8
Source: RefSeq, a predicted model, not a curated record
GAAAUGCAAACUUCAUCUAGAUUUCACAGAAACUGAGAGAAACGAUGAGAGGAGCAUCAUGGCUGAUCUUGCUGACAUCAGAACUUCUCUGGCCAUCAAGCCCAGUCCUCCCAGUUCCUCUGACUGUGAGUCCCAGCAGAUCUCAGUUCUUUAAGGAUGAAUCAGUGACUCUGAUCUGUGAGGAUGAAAACGGAUCUGAUGGAUGGACUGUGAGGAGAAACACAACCAGAGACACCAGAGCUGAGUGUGAGGACUGGGGUCAACCAGCGAACUCUUCAUGUACUUUAACUGGUCUUGUCCCAUUAGACACUGGUCUGUACUGGUGUGAGUCCAUCAGUGGAUCCUCCAGCAGCAUGAACCUCACUGUUGGUAAGAUCAGACUGUGGAGUUAGUGUUGCUGAAGCUGUGUGGAAAUGGAUGAAAUGCUGUAGUUUGUCUCUGUGUUGAGGUGGAUCAGUGAUCCUGCAGAGUCCUGUCCUCCCUGUGAUGGAGGGAGAUGACGUCACUCUGAGCUGCAGAGCAAAGAAUCCAACCCACAACCUCCCAGCUGCUUUCUAUAAAGAUGGCUCCUUCAUUGGUGAUGGACCAUCAGGUCACAUGACCCUCCUCCAUGUUUCCAGCUCUGAUGAAGGCCUCUAUAAAUGUAACAUCAGCCGUCAUGGAGAGUCUCCAUCCAGCAGGAUCUCUGUCAAAGAGAGACUCUCCUCCACUCCUCCUCCACCUUCCUCCUCUCCUCUUCCUCUCUCCAUGGUCCUCUCUCUCUCCUCUCUCGGUUUUCUGCUUUUCUUCCUGUUCCUGGUUCUGCUGACUCGGCGCCUCUGCAGGAAGCCAGCAGGCAGAAACUCAGCAGCUGUUUAUUCACCAGACAGAACCGGGUCAGUCACUGCUGCAGGUCAGUUCCUGGGUCAGAACCACUGAUCUGAAACCAGCUGACACCAGAACACAGAACCAAUAACUAAUCGAUCAUCUGAUCUGACUGGAUCUGAAACAGUUCAGACUCAGCAGCUGAUUAUUCAUCCACACCAGAAGCUCCAGACACAACAGAACCCGGUCCAGAACCCGUUUACUCAUCGGUGAGGAGAGAGAGAGACGUGACGUACGGGCCGGUCAGCAUCAGGACCAGGAGAGAACCAGCGGCGGUACCAGAACAACACGUGGUUUACUCCCUGCUGAAGUGGAGAGUGACCCAACCGGACCCGGCCGACCCGUCCAGCUGCUGACCUGACCUCUGACCUCUGACCUCUGGACAGCUGCGGUCCGAACCCAGAGCCCGACCAGAACCAUCUGGUUCUGUUGAUCUGGGUUCUGUCCUGCUGACUCAUCAUUUAAAUUCAUUAUAACCUGAAAAAAAUGUUAAUAUUUAUAGAGAGAAAAUAUUUAUGUUACCAAACCAGAGAUUUCAGUAAAAUUCAGUUUUUAUUUUUUUCAUGACUUUGUUUAUUCUUCAGGUUGUUGCAGGAAUUUAAAGUUGAUUAUAAAAGUUUAAAGCUGAUUAUAAAAGUUUAAAGCUGAUUAUAAAAGUUUAAAGCUGAUUAUAAAAGUUUAAAGCUGAUUCUAAAAGUUUAAAGCUGAUCUGGGAAGAUCUUUGUGUCACAUCUACUUUAUGAAGUUCUAGUUGAAUCAGAAAAAUCAGCUUUGAUUAUUUAUUGAUGCUGAGAGAAAAUCAGCAAACUGAAGAGAGACGAAGAGGAGCCAGACGAACCUCUGGAAAGACACAAAACAUCUGGAUUCCUGCCCCUCCACUGGGCAGCAGGGCAACAGGGAGGGGCAAUAAAUCCUGUUGGGGUAAAAAAGAGAGGGAAAGAAAUGAAUAAAAGAUUUUUAUUGAU